This 453-nucleotide ribosomal RNA is filed under the name uncultured organism. RNAcentral describes it as "partial 16S ribosomal RNA". It matches the Rfam family "Bacterial small subunit ribosomal RNA", at positions 331 to 800 of the family's 1533-position model. The record is from RNAcentral.
GUACACUCCUACGGGAGGCAGCAGUGGGGAAUAUUGGACAAUGGGCGCAAGCCUGAUCCAGCCAUGCCGCGUGAGUGAUGAAGGCCCUAGGGUUGUAAAGCUCUUUCACCGGUGAAGAUAAUGACGGUAACCGGAGAAGAAGCCCCGGCUAACUUCGUGCCAGCAGCCGCGGUAAUACGAAGGGGGCUAGCGUUGUUCGGAUUUACUGGGCGUAAAGCGCACGUAGGCGGACUAUUAAGUCAGGGGUGAAAUCCCGGGGCUCAACCCCGGAACUGCCUUUGAUACUGGUAGUCUUGAGUUCGAGAGAGGUGAGUGGAAUUCCGAGUGUAGAGGUGAAAUUCGUAGAUAUUCGGAGGAACACCAGUGGCGAAGGCGGCUCACUGGCUCGAUACUGACGCUGAGGUGCGAAAGCGUGGGGAGCAAACAGGAUUAGAAACCCUAGUAGUCCCAUGA